AACGAACGCUGGCGGCGUGCUUAACACAUGCAAGUCGAACGGUGAAGCUCCAGCUUGCUGGAGUGGAUCAGUGGCGAACGGGUGAGUAACACGUGAGCAACCUGCCCCUGACUCUGGAAUAAGCGCUGGAAACGGCGUCUAAUACUGGAUACGAGAAGGGUCCGCAUGGGCACUUUCUGGAAAGUUUUUCGGUUGGGGAUGGGCUCGCGGCCUAUCAGCUUGUUGGUGAGGUAAUGGCUCACCAAGGCGACGACGGGUAGCCGGCCUGAGAGGGCGACCGGCCACACUGGGACUGAGACACGGCCCAGACUCCUACGGGAGGCAGCAGUGGGGAAUAUUGCACAAUGGGCGAAAGCCUGAUGCAGCGACGCCGCGUGAGGGAUGACGGCCUUCGGGUUGUAAACCUCUUUCAGCAGGGAAGAAGCGAAAGUGACAGUACCUGCAGAAGAAGCACCGGCUAACUACGUG
This 468-nucleotide ribosomal RNA is filed under the name uncultured bacterium. Its description in RNAcentral is "partial 16S ribosomal RNA". It matches the Rfam family "Bacterial small subunit ribosomal RNA", at positions 29 to 507 of the family's 1533-position model. The record is from RNAcentral.